AACGAACGCUGGCGGCAUGCCUAAUACAUGCAAGUCGAACGAGACCUUCGGGUCUAUUGGCCCACGGGUUCGUCACCCGACGGAAGCUUCACUUAUGGUCGGAAUACCUCCCCGACAGGGGUACCAAUACCAGACAAUGUCUUAUGCCCAAGAAUUUAUUGCCUUUGAAUGGUCCCGCGUUGGAUUAGCUAUUGGGUAGGGUAAAAGCCUCCCAAGGCGACGAUCCAUAGCUGGUCUGAGAGGAUGAUCAGCCACACUGAGACUGAGACACGGCCGGGAAUCCUACGGGAGGCAGCAGUGGUGAAUGUUGGACCAUGGGCGAAAGGAUGAUGCACCAAGGCCGGGUAAGUGAUGAAGGCCUUAGGGUAGUAAAGCUCUUUUAACCGGGAAGAUAAUGACAGUACCGGGAGAAAAAGCUCCGGCUAACUACGUG
Molecule: ribosomal RNA, 433 nt
Filed under: uncultured bacterium
Lineage: Bacteria
Description: partial 16S ribosomal RNA
Rfam family: Bacterial small subunit ribosomal RNA
Source: RNAcentral